UCGGGGAAAGAUUACCGUACACAAGUGCCUAGUGGGAGGUACCAUUCUCUCUGAACUGUCGAAGUUAAGACCGGAAACCUUGCUAAUCGGCGACUAGGUAGCUUUCAUCCAAUGAGCCAACAAACCGCUGCCGGCAAAAAAGAUCUUUGGGUGCCGGUGCGCGUAGGGCUGCAAAGUUGAAACUUAAAGGAAUUGACGGAAGGGCACCACCAGGAGUGGAGCCUGCGGCUUAAUUUGACUCAACACGGGAAACCUCACCCGGCCCGGACACGGACAGGAUUGACAGAUUGAUAGCUCUUUCUCGAUUCCGUGGGUGGUGGUGCAUGGCCGUUCUUAGUUGGUGGAGCGAUUUGUCUGGAUAAUUCCGAUAACGAACGAGACUCUGGCAUGCUAACUAGUUACGCGACCCCCGAGCGGUCGGCGUCCCCCAACUUCUUAGAGGGACAAGUGGCGUUCAGCCACCCGAGAUUGAGCAAUAACAGGUCUGUGAUGCCCUUAGAUGUCCGGGGCUGCACGCGCGCUACACUGACUGGCUCAGCGUGUGCCUACCCUACGCCGGCAGGCGCGGGUAACCCGUUGAACCCCAUUCGUGAUGGGGAUCGGGGAUUGCAAUUAUUCCCCAUGAACGAGGAAUUCCCAGUAAGUGCGGGUCAUAAGCUUGCGUUGAUUACGUCCUGCCCCCCUUGUGAAAAAAAGACCCAGAUUUUUGGGGUUCCUUUGUGUUUGUGGUGGUUGUUGGUUGGCGGCCUUCUCUGUGGGGCUUCUCUUUU
This 770-nucleotide ribosomal RNA is filed under the name Entamoeba histolytica. RNAcentral describes it as "SSU rRNA". It matches the Rfam family "Eukaryotic small subunit ribosomal RNA", at positions 1008 to 1831 of the family's 1831-position model. Lineage: Eukaryota; Evosea; Mastigamoebida; Endamoebidae. The record is from RNAcentral.